RNAcentral lists this unclassified non-coding RNA (236 nucleotides) under uncultured Bordetella sp. RNAcentral describes it as "partial 16S-23S ribosomal RNA intergenic spacer". It matches the Rfam family "Bacterial small subunit ribosomal RNA", at positions 13 to 250 of the family's 1533-position model. Lineage: Bacteria; Pseudomonadati; Pseudomonadota; Betaproteobacteria; Burkholderiales; Alcaligenaceae. The record is from RNAcentral.
UUGAUUCUGGCUCAGAUUGAACGCUGGCAGGAUGCUUUACACAUGCAAGUCGAACGGCAGCAUGGACUUCGAUCUGGUGGCGAGUGGCGAACGGGUGAGUAAUGUAUCGGAACGUGCCUAGUAGCGGGGGAUAACUACGCGAAAGCGUAGCUAAUGCCGCAUACGCCCUUCGAGGGAAAGCGGGGGACCUUCCGGGCCUCGCACUAUUAGAGCGGCCGAUAUCGGAUUAGCUGGUU